CUAGACAUACACUAUAUCUAGAUGCAUAAUAAUAUCUAUGAAUAUAAAAAACUUAAAACAAUCUACAAUUUAGAAUAGAGGGAGUAUGUAUCUAGAAAAGCUAAAAUAAAUAGUAAUUUAGGACGGAAGAAGUAAAUACGUACUACUUGGGUGCGGCGUGAAGUGGCAACCAUUCAACUAGAACUAUAUUUAUAUACCCGUUGAAGAAGAGCUUUGAACAUCUUGAAGAGGUUUCUUACUCAGAGAAUACAGUUUUUUACACUGAAGAAAAUUAUACAAAGCCGUCAAACAAAAUAUCUGGACACGUGCAAGAAAUUAUGGAUUUGGACAUGUGCUGGCCCAAUGCUGAUCGAUUUUACGGUUGAGCGUAAGCUUCAAUUCUUACGGUCGAUCUCUGCUCCUUUUCCGACUCGCCAACAAUCAGCACAUUGUGGGCACCAGGAACCUUAUCCCCCUCGUCAGCCGCACUUGUCUCCCCG
RNAcentral lists this long non-coding RNA (479 nucleotides) under Setaria viridis. RNAcentral's name for it is "long non-coding RNA (SVIR_LNC008822)". The record is from RNAcentral. Lineage: Eukaryota; Viridiplantae; Streptophyta; Magnoliopsida; Poales; Poaceae.